RNAcentral lists this transfer RNA (76 nucleotides) under Flammeovirga pectinis. RNAcentral describes it as "tRNA-His". It matches the Rfam family "tRNA". From Rfam's summary of the family: Transfer RNA (tRNA) molecules are approximately 80 nucleotides in length. The record is from RNAcentral. Lineage: Bacteria; Pseudomonadati; Bacteroidota; Cytophagia; Cytophagales; Flammeovirgaceae.
GCGAUCGUAGCUCAGUCGGUUAGAGCACUGGUUUGUGGUUCCAGGGGUCGUGGGUUCGAUUCCCAUCGUUCGCCCA